Molecule: ribosomal RNA, 465 nt
Filed under: uncultured bacterium
Lineage: Bacteria
Description: partial 16S ribosomal RNA
Rfam family: Bacterial small subunit ribosomal RNA
Source: RNAcentral
GACGAACGCUGGCGGCGUGCUUAACACAUGCAAGUCGAACGGAAAGGCCCUGCAUGCAGGGUACUCGAGUGGCGAACGGGUGAGUAACACGUGGGUGAUCUGCCCUGCACUUCGGGAUAAGCCUGGGAAACUGGGUCUAAUACCGGAUAGGAGCCAUUUUUAGUGUGAUGGUUGGAAAGUUUUUUCGGUGUAGGAUGAGCUCGCGGCCUAUCAGCUUGUUGGUGGGGUAAUGGCCUACCAAGGCGGCGACGGGUAGCCGGCCUGAGAGGGUGGACGGCCACAUUGGGACUGAGAUACGGCCCAGACUCCUACGGGAGGCAGCAGUGGGGAAUAUUGCACAAUGGGCGCAAGCCUGAUGCAGCGACGCCGCGUGGGGGAUGACGGCCUUCGGGUUGUAAACUCCGUUCGCUAGGGACGAAGCUUUUUGUGACGGUACCUAGAUAAGAAGCACCGGCUAACUACGUG